AUUGAACGCUGGCGGCAUGCUUUACACAUGCAAGUCGAACGGUAACACGCCGCUCGGUGCUGACGCGUGUCGCACGGGUGUGUAAUGCAUCUGAACGUGCCCCCUCGUGUGGGAUAACUCCUCGCAAGAGUAGCUAAUACCGCACACGAUCUAUGGGUGAAAGCGGGGGACCGUAAGGGCUCGCGCGCUUGGAGCGGCCGAUGUCAGAUUAGGUAGUUGGUGGGGUAAAGGCGCACCAAGCCAACGAUCUGUAGCUGGUCUGAGAGGACGACCAGCCACACUGGGACUGAGACACGGCCCAGACUCCUACGGGAGGCAGCAGUGGGGAAUUUUGGACAAUGGGCGAAAGCCUGAUCCAGCAAUGCCGCGUGCAGGAAGAAGGCCUUCGGGUUGUAAAGUGCUUUUGGAGGGAACGAAAAGGAUCGGGUUAAUACCCGGGGCUAAUGACGGUACCGUAAGAAUAAGCACCGGCUAACUACGUG
Molecule: ribosomal RNA, 482 nt
Filed under: uncultured bacterium
Lineage: Bacteria
Description: partial 16S ribosomal RNA
Rfam family: Bacterial small subunit ribosomal RNA
Source: RNAcentral